RNAcentral lists this ribosomal RNA (305 nucleotides) under uncultured bacterium. RNAcentral describes it as "bacterial SSU rRNA". It matches the Rfam family "Bacterial small subunit ribosomal RNA", at positions 335 to 657 of the family's 1533-position model. The record is from RNAcentral.
UGUCCUACGGUAGGCAGCAGUGGGGAAUAUUGCACAAUGGGGGAAACCCUGAUGCAGCGACGCCGCGUGGGUGAAGAAGUACUUCGGUACGUAAAGCCCUAUCAGCAGGGAAGAAAAUGACGGUACCUGAUUAAGAAGCCCCGGCUAACUACGUGCCAGCAGCCGCGGUAAUACGUAGGGGGCAAGCGUUAUCCGGAUUUACUGGGUGUAAAGGGAGCGUAGACGGCGAAGAAAGUCUGAAGUGAAAGCCCGCGGCUCAACCGCGGAAUGGCUUUGGAAACUUUUUUGCUGGAGUACCGGAGAGG